UAUAGAGGCAAGACAAUCAAUCCUGCAAGUGAAUAAAGUAGUAAUUAGUAUAACAUGAAUUAACAAAGAUUGGGCAUUGAGAUUUCAGAAGUUAAUCAGGUGCGGCAAGCACAAUUGCCAAUGUCUGACAAACAUAACAAGGCAAGGUUGUGAUGAAAACUAAUCGCCAUACUUCUAAUGGAAGACAUCUUCCAUACUACAAAAUUCACUGACACCAUUAAUGCCAUUUCAACAAAACAGAUUCUCAAACCAAGAAGUCUACUGCACGCAGCAGUAGGUCUCUAAUAUAUUAAAACCCAAUUCCUUCACUUAUGCCACUUCAUCAAGGGCCCUGAGAUUUUCAAUUUGACAGCACAAAACAAUCUCUCAUUCAGUAAUUAUUAGAAGAACCAAGCGCACUGCACUAUAACUCCCUCUGUCCCAUGUAGUCCUUUUUUCGUUUUUCGUCUAUCCUAAAUUAUAGUCCUAUUUCUUAUUUGAGAGUAUAGUUAAUAUAUUAAUUUAGUAAUAUGUCCCUAUUUUAUGUGCUUUGUUAUCACAAAUAUAAUUUAAUUACCUUGAAUAUCAAUUGCAUUAAUGUAGGGGUACAGUAGGAAAAAUUAUAGUAAAAUUUAUUAUUUCAACUAUAUUAACUAAAUUUUCUUAAUCUGUAUGGAAAAAAAUAAAAAUUUAUCUUUAUGGGAGAAAAGAGUAUUUCAUAAGAAGAUUGGAACAAGAAAAUCCCUCUUAUUCUUCAACAAACGAGACAUAACUGAGGAGUUUACUGUCAAUGCAAAUGAUUACUGGGUCAUAUUAUAAAGGAUCCAAACAAAAAACCAUUUGACAUGCAAACAAAAUAGGGAAAAUUUGAUUCAUUGCUUGAUUGCCAUAAACCAAUGACCAUCCUUUCGACGGUGGAAACUAAGAAAAACAAAAGAAAGCAUACUGAAUAAUAAACCUUCUAAAUUUCCUUAUUUUAAAAAGGCUCGAAUGUGUUUCAAUGCUUGGGAGAGUAUUUGAUUUGGAAGGUCAACUCAACAAUUAAUGGAAGCAGAGGUCGAAUGAGGGUCAGUAAACCCUGCCUUUUACUCUCACCCACUUGAGUUGGCAAAGCUUUUUCUUCCGCAUGAGUUUGAAUGGGAGGGCCUAAAAUCCUUAAUUCAUAGAAUUUCUUGGAACUUAAAUCUCAAAAAAAAGAAAUAUGUGCUACUAAGAAAGUCAUCACAGGAGAUUUCAGAAGUUAAUCAGGUGCGGCAAGCACAAUUGCCAAUGUCUGACAAACAUAACAAGGCAAGGUUGUGAUGAAAACUAAUCGCCAUACUUCUAAUGGAAGACAUCUUCCAUACUACAAAAUUCACUGACACCAUUAAUGCCAUUUCAACAAAACAGAUUCUCAAACCAAGAAGUCUACUGCACGCAACAGUAAGUCUACUGCACGCAACAGUAAGUCUCUAAUAUAUUAAAACCCAAUUCCUUCACUUAUGCCACUUCAUCAAGGGCCCUGAGAUUUUCAAUUUGACAGCACAAAACAAUCUCUCAUUCAGUAAUUAUUAGAAGAACCAAGCGCACUGCACUAUAACUCCCUCUGUCCCAUGUAGUCCUUUUUUCCUUUUUCGUCUAUCCUAAAUUAUAGUCCUGUUUCUUAUUUGAGAGUAUAGUUAAUAUAUUAAUUUAGUAAUAUGUCCCUAUUUAAUGUGCUUUGUUAUCACAAAUAUAAUUUAAU
RNAcentral lists this long non-coding RNA (1702 nucleotides) under Olea europaea (common olive). RNAcentral's name for it is "long non-coding RNA (OEUR_LNC007995)". Lineage: Eukaryota; Viridiplantae; Streptophyta; Magnoliopsida; Lamiales; Oleaceae. The record is from RNAcentral.